UUGAGCCUACGGGACGCAGCAGUGAGGAAUAUUGGUCAAUGGUCGGGAGACUGAACCAGCCAAGCCGCGUGAGGGAUGAAGGUACAGAGUAUCGUAAACCUCUUUUGUCAGCAGACGGUACCUGAGUAAGAAGCCCCGGCUAACUACGUGCCAGCAGCCGCGGUAAUACGUAGGGGGCAAGCGUUAUCCGGAUUUACUGGGUGUAAAGGGAGCGUAGACGGUGCGCCAAGUCUGGAGUGAAAUGCCGCAGCUUAACUGCGGAACUGCUUUGGAAACUGGCGAACUAGAGUGCGGGAGGGGCAAGG
RNAcentral lists this ribosomal RNA (305 nucleotides) under uncultured bacterium. RNAcentral describes it as "bacterial SSU rRNA". It matches the Rfam family "Bacterial small subunit ribosomal RNA", at positions 332 to 662 of the family's 1533-position model. The record is from RNAcentral.